CGCUAUGCUGCAUCUAGUCAGU
This is a non-coding RNA of Drosophila melanogaster (fruit fly), 22 nucleotides long. NCBI's taxonomy places the organism in Eukaryota, Metazoa, Arthropoda, Insecta, Diptera, Drosophilidae. The record is from Ensembl.